Long non-coding RNA from Callorhinus ursinus (northern fur seal), 1457 nucleotides. RefSeq lists it as uncharacterized. NCBI's taxonomy places the organism in Eukaryota, Metazoa, Chordata, Mammalia, Carnivora, Otariidae. The record is from RefSeq and is a predicted model, not a curated record.
UUCUUCUGAGUGAGGGGGAGUGAGACUGGUAUGUUUUCAGACCCACUUUGUACAAGGAGAAAGUAAAGCAGGUGAAGAAAGCCUGCAGAGUCCGUGAGGGAGACCCAGCAUUUCCUCCUCUGAAAGGGAAGCAAAUGUUCCCUUUGAGGAACAAGAAACUCCACCUCCGCAAUCGCUUCUCUGCGCUGUGGGGUGGCAGAAGAGAACCGGGAAGGAGAGAGCCAAGAGGCGUCAGGUGCUCAGCCCUCUGCUGGAGAAACAACAACAAUAACAAAUACCAUCACAACAGUGAGCCCAUCAACCCCUCUGAGAGACCUGAGGAUAAGCCAUAGUAAAACAGCACGUGAUUAUCCUUAACCUCUGGCAGAAGGUGCCGCGGUGAGGAAACCGUCAAGGGCAAUUUUACUCACCCUUGGAAGGGAUCACGGUGGUGAAAACUUCUAUAUUUUCAUCACUGCAGCUGUAAAUCUGAUGCAUCGUUUCAGGCUUCUCUCCCCCAAAGUGCCGGGAACCGGAAGCCUCUCUCUGAACCCCUAGUCGCGAGGUUUCCUAAUCCAGUCUGGCUCGGGGAUCAUUGUGCAGGUCUACAAAAGACAGGCUGGUGCUGUGAUCUCAUCUCAUUCCAGAGUCUUCACUGCAACAUUUUCUAAUCCCAUCUGUCUUUUUUUUUUUUUUUUUUAUGAAUCCUAUUAUUGUAAACCUUUGAUUGAGCGUGGAGGCUUCAGUCCCCUCCCAGCCAGGACGUAUUUAACAUUUUUAUUUUGCCGUGUCUGCCGCAGUGAUUUUGGAAGUCUUUUGUGAAGUAACGAUGAAGUGAAAUCGCCGACUCUGUUAGCGCCAAGCUUGGCUGGAGAAUUUCACCGAAAAGGAAAGAAACGUGGUUUUUGCUACCAGCAAUUACCCUUUUCAUUUCAGAAAGGAAGGGGGCUUUUUUCUUUUUUUCCUCCAGAAGAAGUGGAUAUUCAGUAAUUUGUCGUGUGUUAAUUUGGCAUCCUUCUAAGUUUCUAUUUUAAACAAAAGGACUGUUUCUCUGGAGCGUUUUCCCCUCAUGCCAGUACAUGACAAGGCUGACAUUUCUGGAGAGCGGUCUAUUUAGCAUCUUCUUGUACAACCCUUCAGGUGCUUGCAGAGACAUGGUAACAAGCAGUGUCUUGACACCCAAGGUGGCACAGGAAGAUUAGAUUUACAAGAAGAUUGUAUUUUUAUUACCCUAAAUAUCCUAAUAUAUAUUAUCCUAUAUAUUCUGUUAUCCUAUAUUUAUGUAGAAUAAUACAUAUCCUAUAUUUUGUCUUAUAUAUUCUAUGUAUACACACAGAAAUAAGGUAUGUCUGAAAUGUAUGUGUAUUGUGUCAAACCCACCGUCUUUCAUUACGCCACGACAGAUUUAUUUCUUCGUGUUGAUAAUGAUGAUGUAAUCAUAAUAAUGAUAGUUGGCAUUUAUUAAAUGCUUGCUAAGA